GGGCGUAUAGCUCAGUGGUAGAGCGCGUCACUGAUAAUGACGAGGCCGAAGGUCCGAUCCCUUCUACGCCCACCA
This 75-nucleotide transfer RNA is filed under the name Candidatus Doudnabacteria bacterium RIFCSPHIGHO2_01_FULL_49_9. RNAcentral describes it as "tRNA-Ile". It matches the Rfam family "tRNA". Rfam says of the family: Transfer RNA (tRNA) molecules are approximately 80 nucleotides in length. Their secondary structure includes four short double-helical elements and three loops (D, anti-codon, and T loops). Lineage: Bacteria; Candidatus Doudnaibacteriota. The record is from RNAcentral.